UGUAUGUGUCAGUAUGUCUGUGUGUGUGUAUGUCAGUGUGUCUGUGUGUGUAUGUCAGUAUGUCUGUCAUAGACACACACAGACAUACUGACACAGACAUACUAAC
Non-coding RNA from Pelobates cultripes (western spadefoot toad), 106 nucleotides. Lineage: Eukaryota; Metazoa; Chordata; Amphibia; Anura; Pelobatidae. The record is from the annotation of a GenBank genome assembly.